This 808-nucleotide ribosomal RNA is filed under the name uncultured Bacteroidota bacterium. RNAcentral describes it as "bacterial SSU rRNA". It matches the Rfam family "Bacterial small subunit ribosomal RNA", at positions 60 to 874 of the family's 1533-position model. The record is from RNAcentral. Lineage: Bacteria; Pseudomonadati; Bacteroidota.
AGUCGAGGGGUAUAGUUCUUCGGAAUUAGAGACCGGCGCACGGGUGCGUAACGCGUAUGCAAUCUACCUUUUACAGAGGGAUAGCCCAGAGAAAUUUGGAUUAAUACCUCAUAGUAUGCAGAGUUGGCAUCAACACUGCAUUAAAGUCACAACGGUAAAAGAUGAGCAUGCGUCCCAUUAGCUAGUUGGUAAGGUAACGGCUUACCAAGGCGACGAUGGGUAGGGGUCCUGAGAGGGAGAUCCCCCACACUGGUACUGAGACACGGACCAGACUCCUACGGGAGGCAGCAGUGAGGAAUAUUGGACAAUGGGCGCAAGCCUGAUCCAGCCAUGCCGCGUGCAGGAUGACGGUCCUAUGGAUUGUAAACUGCUUUUGCACAGGAAGAAACAACUCUACGCGUAGAGUCUUGACGGUACUGUGAGAAUAAGGAUCGGCUAACUCCGUGCCAGCAGCCGCGGUAAUACGGAGGAUCCAAGCGUUAUCCGGAAUCAUUGGGUUUAAAGGGUCCGUAGGCGGUUUAGUAAGUCAGUGGUGAAAGCCCAUCGCUCAACGGUGGAACGGCCAUUGAUACUGCUAGACUUGAAUUAUUAGGAAGUAACUAGAAUAUGUAGUGUAGCGGUGAAAUGCUUAGAGAUUACAUGGAAUACCAAUUGCGAAGGCAGGUUACUACUAAUGGAUUGACGCUGAUGGACGAAAGCGUGGGUAGCGAACAGGAUUAGAUACCCUGGUAGUCCACGCCGUAAACGAUGGAUACUAGCUGUUGGGAGCAAUCUCAGUGGCUAAGCGAAAGUGAUAAGUAUCCCACCU